RNAcentral lists this ribosomal RNA (640 nucleotides) under uncultured bacterium. Its description in RNAcentral is "bacterial SSU rRNA". It matches the Rfam family "Bacterial small subunit ribosomal RNA", at positions 107 to 743 of the family's 1533-position model. The record is from RNAcentral.
UGAGGAAUACAUCGGAACGUGUCUUUAAGUGGGGGAUAACGCAUCGAAAGGUGUGCUAAUACCGCAUAAUCUCUGAGGAGAAAAGUAGGGGAUCGCAAGACCUUGCGCCUUUGGAGCGGCCGAUGUCUGAUUAGCUUGUUGGUGAGGUAAAGGCUUACCAAGGCUUCGAUCAGUAGCUGGUCUGAGAGGACGGCCAGCCACACUGGGACUGAGACACGGCCCAGACUCCUACGGGAGGCAGCAGUGGGGAAUUUUGGACAAUGGGGGCAACCCUGAUCCAGCCAUGCCGCGUGAGUGAAGAAGGCCUUCGGGUUGUAAAGCUCUUUCAGCCGGAACGAAACGGUUACGAUUAAUACCCGUAACUACUGACGGUACCGGAAGAAGAAGCACCGGCUAACUACGUGCCAGCAGCCGCGGUAAUACGUAGGGUGCGAGCGUUAAUCGGAAUUACUGGGCGUAAAGCGUGCGCAGGUGGUUUUGUAAGUCAGAUGUGAAAUCCCCGGGCUUAACCUGGGAACUGCGUUUGAAACUACAAGGCUAGAGUGUGGCAGAGGGGGGUGGAAUUCCGCGUGUAGCAGUGAAAUGCGUAGAGAUGUGGAGGAACACCGAUGGCGAAGGCAGCCCCCUGGGUCAACACUGA